This is a non-coding RNA of Ochotona curzoniae (black-lipped pika), 518 nucleotides long. The record is from the annotation of a RefSeq genome assembly. Lineage: Eukaryota; Metazoa; Chordata; Mammalia; Lagomorpha; Ochotonidae.
GCUCUCCCUUUGCCAACAUUUAGACGAGAAGGCCAGCUGUCCUGCCCUCUCCCACCAUGAGUGUCAGCCUCCUGUGCUGGGCAGCCUUUUGUCUCCUGUUUGCAGGUGCAGCACAUGCAGGGGUCACUCAGAGGCCCAUGUUCCAGAUCCUAAAGACAGGACAGAGACUGACAAUGACAUGUGUCCAGGAUACAAGCCACAGUGACAUGUACUGGUACCGCCAGGACCCAGGACAGGGCCUGAAGCUGAUUCAUUACUCAGUGGGCAAAGGCAUCACUGAUAAAGGAGAAGUCCCUGAUGGGUAUAAUGCAUCUAGACCAAGCACAGAGAACUUCCUGCUCACCGCAAAGUCGGCUGCCCCCUCACAGACCUCUAUGUACUUGUGUGCCAGCAGUGAUCCACAGCGCUGCAUAGUCACAUCCUCUCAACACACAAACUCAGGGCAGGCUCUGCUCCCACAGAAUCCAGUGACACCCUCAUCACAAGAAACUGGGAGACACAGGAUGUCUUCUGAAUGA